UACAGAGGGGGCAAGCGUUGUUCGGAAUUACUGGGCGUAAAGGGCGCGUAGGCGGCCUGUUAAGUCGAACGUGAAAUCCCCGGGCUCAACCCGGGAACUGCGUCCGAUACUGGCAGGCUUGAAUCCGGGAGAGGGAUGCGGAAUUCCAGGUGUAGCGGUGAAAUGCGUAGAUAUCUGGAGGAACACCGGUGCGAAGGCGGUUCUGCUGGGCCUUACCUGACGCUGAGGAGCGAAAGCGUGGGGAGCGAACAGG
This 253-nucleotide ribosomal RNA is filed under the name uncultured bacterium. RNAcentral describes it as "partial 16S ribosomal RNA". It matches the Rfam family "Bacterial small subunit ribosomal RNA", at positions 524 to 776 of the family's 1533-position model. The record is from RNAcentral.